GUGGUACUGGGGAAGCGGGAAGGUUGUGGGGGUUGGCAGGGGUCCCCCCAUGGUCCCCCCCGCCCCCCACUCCUAGUACUUACCAGCUAAACCCACACACCCAUUGAUGAGGAAGGACAAUCCCAGCUCCGGAUUAAGGACUAUGCAGAGUGUCAUCCCCAAUCACACAUAAUCCCAUUUGUAUCCAGCCUUUGUCCCACAUCCCUGCUCAGAGGUUAAGACAAGGGAAAGGAAUUCUCGUUUGGGAAGAAACGAGUGACCUCUCCUCUUUUACUGUCCUCCUCGUGCUGUCUGCUGGGUCCCAUCUUGUCCUGCUCUGUCAUUGCAUCCUUUGCCCAGGGGCAAAACAACUUGUCAGUGCUUCCCCUUAGCAGUUCUCUGCUGUACGUGGUGGAGACUCAUUCAUCCCCUCCUCUGUUGCUUGCCAAGGUCUGUAUGCUUGGCAGCCCCUCUGCUCACCCAGCGUUCAGAAGCUCAGGGUGGCAUCUCGGGUAAAGGACCAAUCUCCAUCAGGUGUCAUUUCAACUCAAAACUGAUUUCUCUUCAGACCCCUUGGGUGCAUGUGCCCUUCUUUGCAGGGUGAGAGCUUUCUGUAGACAAAGCAUUUGACCCCAUGGACAUCCUGAUGAGGAUGGGAAAUCAGAGCAAUGAAUAUAUAGCGAUGUGGAGCGUCAUCUCGGGUCACUGGUGCUUCCAUCAUGACACUCGGUGAGCAAAUUCUCUCUUCCAGGUUCAGUCGGAGGGAAGGAAAAUCAGUGGAUGAUGGCACUGCAGGGUGCUGGACUUUCAGAUAGUUUCUAAACUCAACAAAAGUUGAAGUGCUCACCGGUGCCCUGGGAAAUACACCUUGUGAGAUGUUUGUCAUGGGGGACAGUGGGCUUUGGCCAAAUCUGGGGACUUAUUUGGGGUCUCUACAAAGGCACGAGAGAGAGGCAGAUAGCAGAGGCAGACACACACUGUGGGUAAAUGUGAUCCCACCUGACUAGCUGGUGUUUCACAUAACCUACAUCACCGUGCUGCAUUAAGAACUACAUGGGCUCAUUCUGUGAUGUUUCUAGUAAGUGGGGGAGGUCGAGGCAGCAGCAGCCAGGGAGCAGGGAGCAGAUUUGCAUGAAGGAACAGAUCUCAGGUCCGGGAGUCAGAGAGAGACUUGGAGGGUCCCAGCGAGAAACUUCCUCGGCUCAGGAAGCUGUCCCAGUCUGGAUUCCCACCAUAACCCCUCUCCUCCUUGUGCUGCUCACGUGCUGCUCGGGUAACUCAUCAAAGGCCGUGUGCUGCAGAUUACUUUUGCAGACCUUCCUGGGUUGAACAGAGAAAUGGGGAGCCCGCUGUACGAGAGGAGAGUAAAGGAACUGCCUUGUCCUGCCUUGUGAGAAGCAGACCGAGAGCGGAGAUGACUGCUCUCUGCAGUUACAUCCAAGAGCCAAGAGCCAUGCAGAAGAAAAGGAGAGUGCCAGCUCCAGAAAAAAUUAUGUCAAAUCAAGGAAAUGGUCAACAGAGAACUGCCACGCUCGUCACAUGUACACGUAUCUCAGAAGCCAGUAAAGGCAAGAAAGCUACAUAGACGUACAAAAAACUAGAGCUCUUCCUUCCAAAAUGAUACCUUUCAUGACACCAACUGGAGAAUCACAAGAAAAUUGUCCUUUUCUGCAAGCUUUCGGGAUCAAAGUCCCUUUGUCAAGCUCUGGGGAAAGUAUAGGUGGUACAAGAUGGUAAGGAGUCCCUCUAGGUAGGAAAUCAACUUCAUUUUUGGACGGAGGGAGCUGGAGAUGGAAGACUGUCCCUCUGGGGCCGUGAGAGUGUCUUUGUGAGCUGUGCCAAGUAGCUCUUUGCUGUGUUGGUCAGGUAGGACUCCUUCCCUGGAGGUGUCAGAUGGCAAGCGGGGAAGUAACAAAAACUUCCUUCUUAUUCUGCAAUGAAGUUUAAAACCCCAAAAAGAAAGCUACAUACGCAUUUCAAUUGACAUAGCAGCUACAGGGAACAAAAGGCUAAAUAUGCAUCUGAAGAGAAACUUGUAAAAGAUACAGAAAAAAUGUCCUGUAUGUGACAAACACUCUCCCAACUAACAUCCUAAGGGGUAGGGCGUUCAAAAUGUCUGAACCAUUCGAUGUAUGUCUGGAGCUUGAACAACAAACCUUCACCUGUACAAGCUACUGCAAAUGUGCCCAGUUGAUACACAGAUACCCCAAGACAGGUUUGGUGACACCUCUAAGUAUCCGGUCCAACUGCUCAGACCUACUAUUAUAGGGCCUGCAGAGAUGCACAAGUUUUACACCUAGACAAUGCAAGAACAGGAGCCAGGCAGUUACUAGUUGUGAUAUGAUGAUCAACACCCUUUUCUCCCUGUUUGUCUGGACUCUAAGUGGCCAACUAUCAAGAAAAAAUGCUUUGAAGUUAUACAAUGAAACAGUAUAAGAACUAACAGAAUUUGCCAGCAAAGUGUGCGCUGCAGGAGAAGCAGAGAGAGAUCACUGCUACAUCGCACCCAGCGUAACCAGCACCGGAUCCUGCGUGGGGAAAGCUGCACAACUGGACCAGCUUCCUUCGCCGGCAUUGGUGAGAGAACGCUGUUGCUGCUGAAUAUGUACUAGGACUUUGUGGGGUAGCUCCUUUUAUUUUGGGAAGGAGUCUUUUUCUGUCAUUUGGUUUGAUAAGCUUGCUUGUGGUCUUGUUAUUAAAGCCUUUCUGCUAUUGGACAA
This is a long non-coding RNA of Alligator mississippiensis (American alligator), 2699 nucleotides long. RefSeq lists it as uncharacterized. Lineage: Eukaryota; Metazoa; Chordata; Crocodylia; Alligatoridae. The record is from RefSeq and is a predicted model, not a curated record. The transcript has 2 exons.